AGUGGCGGACGGGUGAGUAAUGCUUGGGAACUUGCCUUUGCGAGGGGGAUAACAGUUGGAAACGACUGCUAAUACCGCAUAAUGUCUUCGGACCAAACGGGGCUUAGGCUCCGGCGCGAAGAGAGGCCCAAGUGAGAUUAGCUAGUUGGUGAGGUAAAGGCUCACCAAGGCAACGAUCUCUAGCUGUUCUGAGAGGAAGAUCAGCCACACUGGGACUGAGACACGGCCCAGACUCCUACGGGAGGCAGCAGUGGGGAAUAUUGCACAAUGGGGGAAACCCUGAUGCAGCCAUGCCGCGUGUGUGAAGAAGGCCUUCGGGUUGUAAAGCACUUUCAGUUGUGAGGAAAAGUUAGUAGUUAAUACCUGCUAGCCGUGACGUUAACAACAGAAGAAGCACCGGCUAACUCCGUGCCAGCAGCCGCGGUAAUACGGAGGGUGCGAGCGUUAAUCGGAAUUACUGGGCGUAAAGCGCACGCAGGCGGUUUGUUAAGCUAGAUGUGAAAGCCCCGGGCUCAACCUGGGACGGUCAUUUAGAACUGGCAGACUAGAGUCUUGGAGAGGGGAGUGGAAUUCCAGGUGUAGCGGUGAAAUGCGUAGAUAUCUGGAGGAACAUCA
Molecule: ribosomal RNA, 615 nt
Filed under: uncultured bacterium
Lineage: Bacteria
Description: bacterial SSU rRNA
Rfam family: Bacterial small subunit ribosomal RNA
Source: RNAcentral